CCUUCUUCCCGUUUCUUUUCUCUCCCGAAGCUUCCUCUCCUCCUUUCUUUCUUCUUCUCCCCUUCCCCUCUUCUCUCAUGAUCACAAGAAAAAUCCCACACCAGAGCUCGGGAGAAGAACCGACGGCGGAGAGGGAGCUCAGGAGGAGAACCCAUGGCGGAAAGGAAGCUCGGGAGGGGAAAGGCCCAAGGCCGGCGAUGCCCGUGGCCCGGCCCCCUCCUCCUCUUUUCCAUGAACACAAGGGAGCGGUCCCUCGCCGGGGUGCUCGGGAGGCCCAGGCCGAGACCGGCAGCACCCACAGCGGCCAGCCCUCGCCUUCUUGCUGCGGCGGAGAUAUGCACAUGUGAGUCCCCCCCCUUCCUCCCUUCCUCCCUCUCCCUCUCUGUUAUCCCAAGCAAACUGUAAACCAGGAGGGAAGAAUGCUGGAAAGAGGAAAAAUAAGGUGGUCAGGAGCUUAUAUAGUUUCGGGGAGGAGUUACAAGCACAUUCUCCGGCGACACAGACGUCCGUUCAGGGAACCCGGUCUCUGAGGAAGGAGGAGAAUAGUGAGGAAGGAACAGUGACGUGGGUUCAGUUAAGGAUUUUAGAGGGUUCGACGACUGAGCCACCGUACAUCAAUUUCUCCCCUCCCUUCGAAGUAACGGAUAGUGGCCUACAGAUGGGCUGCCAACUUUGGUCCAGAUCGGCCCAUCUGGUGGCCCAAUACUCACAGCACGUGCAUGUAGUGGCAUAUGGUACAUGUCAGCAUGCACCUGGCAUUGCCAGCAGGGACCAGCAUGCAACAACACGUGCUUGGCAUGUUGUCUUCCUUUGUGUUGGACUUUUGCUGAUUUUAAUUAAAUCAGUCUUAUAAUUUGGCUUUGCAUCAUUUAUAACGACUACUUUCCUAAGGCUCUUUUUCUUUUUGGAAGAGCUUGAAGAACAUCGUAUCUGGCUUUACAAUUGAGGUCGAAUUUUAUGCAACAGCUUAUAUAGAGUAUGUGGUCAUGUGGUUCCAUUAUGCUCUUUAGAAUUAAGGAUCACCCUUUCUUCCAUUUCACCCUUUUCUAUUGUUAUAGAUAAUGUUAUGCAUACGCUAUUCGUUGUCUUGGCCCAAUAUUGUCCCUAAAAAUUUCAGGAAAUGAAGUGCCUAUUAUAGCAUUUGCGUCCUGAUAGAGAAAAAUGUACCAUUUUGCUCUAUCCAACUUUUUCUUCUGGAGUUUCGUCUUUAUUACCAGAAUGUUCGUUAGAUGCUUGUCUUUUUUCUCAAUUGAUCUAGCAUAUUCAGAUUGAUUACCACUUCAUGUUGCUUCCCUAGUUUAUUUUGUUGAAAGCAUUAUUUUUUGAAGUCUCACACUAUCAGCUUGCGAGUCCCUCUACUGAAUAAUGAAUGUCCUCUCAGGGAUUUAUGCCUUUAUAUAGAAAUCUGGUGGAUAA
This 1416-nucleotide long non-coding RNA is filed under the name Phoenix dactylifera (date palm). RNAcentral describes it as "long non-coding RNA (PDAC_LNC000948)". Lineage: Eukaryota; Viridiplantae; Streptophyta; Magnoliopsida; Arecales; Arecaceae. The record is from RNAcentral.